UACGUAGGGGGCAAGCGUUGUCCGGAAUCAUUGGGCGUAAAGCGCGUGUAGGCGGCUUGGUAAGUCUGCUCUGAAAGCCCGGGGCUCAACCCCGGGAGGCGGGUGGAUACUGCUGAGCUCGAGUCCGGAAGAGGCGAGUGGAAUUCCUGGUAUAGCGGUGAAAUGCGCAGAUAUCAGGAGGAACAUCAAUGGCGAAGGCAGCUCGCUGGGACGUGACUGACGCUGAGACGCGAAAGCGUGGGGAGCAAACAGG
This 253-nucleotide ribosomal RNA is filed under the name uncultured bacterium. RNAcentral's name for it is "partial 16S ribosomal RNA". It matches the Rfam family "Bacterial small subunit ribosomal RNA", at positions 524 to 776 of the family's 1533-position model. The record is from RNAcentral.